Molecule: long non-coding RNA, 227 nt
Filed under: Mytilus galloprovincialis (Mediterranean mussel)
Lineage: Eukaryota; Metazoa; Mollusca; Bivalvia; Mytilida; Mytilidae
Source: RNAcentral
UUUUUGUCAGAUCUUUGGAAUCCUCUGGUGUUAUCGAUAAUUUUUACUCUAUUUAUUUCUUACAAAUCUUUAACAAGUAAAAUGAUAAGCCAUCUAACAUUUUUUAAAUUAUGUUAAAAUAGUUUUUGAAAACUUAAACUUGUCAAUGAUAUGAAAAGUAAAAUGAGAACAUUUUACCGCCAAAAUUUCAAAAUUUCAAAAAUGAGCGCAUUGACUUAUAUAUAUAU